AACCCCUGUGAACAUACCUAUACGUUGCCUCGGCGGAUCAGCCCGCGCCCCGUAAAACGGGACGGCCCGCCCGAGGACCCCUAAACUCUGUUUUUAGUGGAACUUCUGAGUAAAACAAACAAAUAAAUCAAAACUUUCAACAACGGAUCUCUUGGUUCUGGCAUCGAUGAAGAACGCAGCAAAAUGCGAUAAGUAAUGUGAAUUGCAGAAUUCAGUGAAUCAUCGAAUCUUUGAACGCACAUUGCGCCCGCCAGUAUUCUGGCGGGCAUGCCUGUUCGAGCGUCAUUUCAACCCUCAAGCUCAGCUUGGUGUUGGGACUCGCGGUAACCCGCGUUCCCCAAAUCGAUUGGCGGUCACGUCGAGCUUCCAUAGCGUAGUAAUCAUACACCUCGUUACUGGUAAUCGUCGCGGCCACGCCGUUAAACCCCAACUUCUGAAUGUUGACCUCGGAUCAGGUAGGAAUACCCGCUGAACUUAA
Molecule: ribosomal RNA, 478 nt
Filed under: Fusarium equiseti
Lineage: Eukaryota; Fungi; Ascomycota; Sordariomycetes; Hypocreales; Nectriaceae
Description: eukaryotic LSU rRNA
Rfam family: 5.8S ribosomal RNA (bases 132-285)
Source: RNAcentral